GAUGAACGCUGGUGGCGUGCCUAACACAUGCAAGUCGAGCGAUUCUCUUCGGAGAAGAGCGGCGGACGGGUGCGUAACGCGUGGGUAACCUGCCCUGUACCCACGGAUAACAUACCGAAAGGUAUGCUAAUACGAGAUAACAUGCUUUUAUCGCAUGGUAGAAGUAUCAAAGCUUUUGCGGUACAGGAUGGACCCGCGUCUGAUUAGCUAGUUGGUGAGGUAACGGCUAACCAAGGCGACGAUCAGUAGCCGACCUGUGAGGGUGAUCGGCCACAUUGGAACUGAGACACGGUCCAAACUCCUACGGGGAGCAGCAGUGGGGAAUAUUGCACAAUGGGCGAAAGCCUGAUGCAGCAACGCCGCGUGAGCGAUGAAGGCCUUCGGGUCGUAAAGCUCUGUCCUCAAGGAAGAUAAUGACGGUACUUGAGGAGGAAGCCCCGGCUAACUACGUG
Molecule: ribosomal RNA, 452 nt
Filed under: uncultured bacterium
Lineage: Bacteria
Description: partial 16S ribosomal RNA
Rfam family: Bacterial small subunit ribosomal RNA
Source: RNAcentral